This is a non-coding RNA of Podarcis lilfordi (Lilford's wall lizard), 6623 nucleotides long. NCBI's taxonomy places the organism in Eukaryota, Metazoa, Chordata, Lepidosauria, Squamata, Lacertidae. The record is from the annotation of a GenBank genome assembly.
GAGUCAUUAUUUCCUUUGUCUCCUGCUACUGCUUACAGCUGCAAGUUUGUCCUCUUGUUUGGGACAUAGAUUAGAAGCUGCUUGUGGUCUGUGCCUAGGUGCUUGGUUGAGGCUUUGGCUCUCAAGGGAGAUGUGACCUUUAUUAUAAUUAAUCGCAGUGCUCUCUGACCAAUUAAAAAACAACUUUCAGAGCCAGAGUGGUGAAACGUUGGGUAAGGAUCAGGGAGACCCAGGUUAAAAUCUCCACUCAGUCAUGAUAUUUACUGGGUUACCACUCCCAGCGUAACCUAUUUCUCAGUGUUGUGAGGAACACUGAAGGGACAAAAAGAAGAAGUGGGAUACUUGUUUCCAUCUGCAGGAUACACUCAAGAGAUAUCAUUGGGUUGAAAGCUAUAAACUGCUUGCUCUUGAAAACCCCGGCAAGUAAGAAUCCAGACUGUGCCUGUUUUCCACCUCCUCCAUUUACAGUGGUACCUUGGUUCUCAAACUUAAUCCAUUCUGGAAGUCUGUUCUAAAACCAAAGCGUUCCAAAACCAAGGCACACUUUCCCAUAGAAAGUAAUGCAAAAUGGAUUAAUCCAUUCCAAACUUUUAAAAACAACCCCUAAAACAGCAAGUUAACAUGAAUUCUACUACCUAAUGAGACCAUUGAGCCAUAAAAUGAAAGCAAUAAACAAUGUACUGCAGUCACACAAUCAAUCAAUCAGUAGCUGAACUGGGUUCCACACACUCACAAAAACAAAACAAAAAGAGCCACAAAAAUGCAAAAUAAAUAGCAAAAACAGACAGACCUCAGUGUAACACUCAAAACAGAAGUGUGGCACUCAAAAUGGAGCAUGUUCGGCUUCCAAAAAAAGCUUGCAAACCGAAACACUUACUUCUGGGUUUGCAGUGUUUGGGUUCCAAGUUGUUUGUGAACCAAGGUACCACUGUACAUUUAUUUUACACUUUCUAAAAAGCUUCGUAGUUUUAUUGUGAGUUUUUAUAACAUAAAUUAUCCCUGCUCAACAAGAGUGGACCUACAGGUGUCAGCACUUAUGGUUCAGUUCUAUGUGUGAUUCAACACUGCAUAACACUUUACUUGGACCCCUUCUGAGUUUGAUAGGGCUGGUUCAUAAGCAAGUGAGACUAAAAAGUACUCCACUGUGAGUCUUGCAUCAGAGUCAUUUCAGAGCCAUGGGUGACAUUAGUGAGGAUAGCUGCCGUGUAUUGAGGCAGAUUAUUGAUCCAUCUAGCUGAGUACUUUCUAUGCUGACUGGUAGCAGCUUUCCAGGAUUUCAGAUGGGGACAUUCCCAUUCCCACUUGGAGAUGCUAGUAAUUGAACCUGGGGCCUUCUGCAUGCCAAGCAGAUGCUCUCCUACUGAGCUACAUCCCUUUAUUCCAGCCUUCAUUGCUCUCAAUAAAGGACCAGCUUAAAUAGGGACAUAGGGAGCUGCUUAUACUAAGCAUGGCCAUUGGUCUGUGUAGCUCAGUACUGUCUACACUGACUGGUAGCAGUUUCCCAAGAUUUCAGACAGGAGACAUUCCCAGACCUAUCUGGAGAUGCUGGGGGUAGAACCAGGAACCUCCUGCAUACAAUGAGAUAAGAUGCCUUGGAUGAGGGUGAGGCAACAUCCUUUCGAAGGAGAGGUGGUCUUGCCAAAUUCUCAAGUUCUGCGGAAUUUCACUUCCUAUUAAGAAAUGGUUGUUUUAGUUAUCAGCUAGAUGGAAAGUCAUAUGCUUUAAUAAUCAACUUUCCCCCCACAGAAUCAGAGAAUUGUAGAGUCUGAAGGGACCCCAAGGGUCAUCUAGUUCAACCCCUUGCAAUGUAAGAAUCUCAGCUAGAUCACAUCUGACAGAAGGCCAUUCAACCUCUGCUAAAAAACCUCCAAGAAAGGACAGUCUACUACAUCCCCCAGGGAAUCUGAUCCACUGUCAAACAGCUCUUACUGUCAGAAAGUUCUUCCUGAUGUAUAGUCGGAAUCUCCUUUCUUGUAACUUGAUGUCCGGAAAAGGAAAGUGAAAUCGGAGCAGAAAGCUGGGUAGGCACUGACCGUGGUGCAAGGCUCUCUCCACAGCUUUCUGCUUGUCACACUUCCUGGAAUGUUUUGGGGCCUUUGUUAAGAGAGGCGGUGCAUGAAGAAGGUGCAGCUGACAGGAAGCACAGGAAAGAGCCUUGUACACACUUCCCAGAAUGCCUUGGGAGCAUCAUGAUGCAUCAUCACUUGCAUUCCAAGAAGUGCAGCUUGCAGAAAGCUGCGGAAGGAGGCACCCACUUUUGUGAGUGGUGUGGGGCUUUUCUUUUUAAGUUUUAAAAGCAAGGGGGGAAAUGGAAACCCCUUUGAGCACUUCAUGGUAAGGCAAAGAGCAAACUGCUCCUGCAAAUUUUGGAGAAAUUUCUUUCCUUGCAUGUUACUUUUCAGGAAGGCUUGUUUUGCCUCCACCAAUCUGAAUUUUCAAAGUUUUCAACCCAGCUCUGUGAUAAAUCAGAGUGCCUUUUUUACAUCUAAAACGAGGAACUCUGGUUUAAUGUCAAUUUGUUAAUCAGGAUCUUAAUGUUUGGUUUGUUCCUGCUUUAACAUCCUGGAUAGUUAGCUGACACAAAACUGGAGUUCCCCAUUUUGGACAUAAUGGAGGGACUCUGGUUUAAUCAGUCAAGGCCUGAAGUGCUUAAGUCAGCAUGUAAAGCGAGGAGAUAUAGGGAAGGUUUAGCUCAGCCUUUCCCAGCCUGGGGUCCUCCAGAUGUUUUGGGCUACUACUCCUAGUCAGCAUAGCCAAUAGUUAGGAUGAUGGGAGUUUUAGUAAAACACAUCUGGGGAGCACCAAUUUGAAGCUAGUUUUGCUAGGUGGCAUCAUGACAUCUGAACCAUCAAGAAUUCUGUCAUGGUGCCAGUAUGCUUUUAAAAUCGAUUUUAUUUAAACCAGAAAUAGGAAAACUGUGGCCCUCCAGAUGUUACUGGCUUACAACUCCCAUCACCCCUGAGCAUUAGCCAUGCUGUCUGCAGCUAUGAGUUGGAGUCCAACAACAUUUGGAGGGACACAGGCUCCCCAUCCCUGGUUUUCUUUUUUUUUGGGGGGGUGACAUUAGGAAGGUCAGAAACUCAAUAGCAGAACAGAAUUCAUUUCAACAUAUUCUGUUGCUUCACCUUCCAUUGUGAUACUUGACGAAUGGCAAUGGUAAUGGGUGCUUUCUUUGUAUAUUCCUUUUUUUUUACAAAAUUAACAAAUACGUUCUGUUUUUUCUGCAUAUUUCUAGAUUGCAUUUAACUUACUUCAAAAGGCAUGGGAAAUUUUUGCAUUGUUACAUACAUGCAUGAUAAUGAAACCCUUUAGAAACCAAACUAUCAGUUAAGAUGGCACAUUCUUCUGUUGUUGUUUUUCUGCUGUUAACUGGUGUUUUAGUUUGUAAGGCCCAUCAGCUUUACAUGUGGGCAGGCUCCGCCCAUAAUUCAUUCUGCAAAUGAUCACUCUCAUUUUCUGCACUCUGCCGUCUGUCUUGGUGCUGUCUUGAAAACCCCUUGAGCACCUUGGCUGGGCUUCUCUGUAUGUGCAGAAGGCAAGCGUGCUGCCUACUGGGUGCCUGGCUAAAGUUUCUUUUUUAAGUGAAGUGUACUUUUGCCAUCUCUCCUCCUUCCCCUGGUGAUUCCAGUGAAUUCUGCUCCCUCUUUCCCAGCCCACAGACAAGGCAGAGAAUUUCAGGAGACCAUUUGUGCACAGCCCUUGUAACAACAGCAACCUAUCCCAUUUUUAAAUAUGGGGGUGGGGGUGAGACUUUUGUUUCCUUAUAGUUUAGACCCAACUUUUAAUCUGCUAGACCUUCACACCAAAGAUAAAGGAAAGAGUCAUUCUGAGGGCUCUUGUCUCCUUAAUUUUCACAGUAGGUUCCUAGAAACUUACUGCUCACAGGUGGCUCUGCAAUUGUGACACAUUGGGAAAAUUGAGUCUUCAAUGGGACUUUGAUUCAUACUUCCACCUGUGUGCCUUGAUGGCCAGGUUAGUGCUCUGGGCUGCAAUACAAAACAUGACAAUCCCGGCUGCUUAGUCCUAGCCCCUGAUUGCCUUCCUUGCUGUUUCAUUUAUCAGGCAUGUGCUUCUUUUAUUCUGUGCCUUUCUCUAUGAUAACAAGAGGGACAAAAUAGACAAAGGCUCUGCAGUCCUAACUUCUCUUACUUUGCAGUAAGUCCUGUUGAAUUCAAUAGGACCUACUUAUGAGCAGACAUGGCUAAGCUUGCAGUUAGUGAAACAGGCACACCCUUCCACACCUCCAAACAAUCCACGAGAGCCUUGGCAACUUAUUAUGCAUGUGGUGCCACCAAUGUGCAUGGGGUUUUCAGAGCUCAAGGGAACAGACCUCCUUCACCAAGGAGCUUGCAAUCUGGAAUUUUCCAUGUGGGGAACAAGAAAGCAGAGGGGAAAGGGGAGGGAGGGAUAAACAGGAAAGCAAUAUGCUGUCUCUUACACUUGGUUACAGGCUGUUCCACUUGCUGUCUCUUACACUUGGUUACAGGCUGGGUUGUAGUAGGACAGGGUUGGGGAAUCUGUAGACACUACCAACUUCCACCAUCCCUGGCCUUUGACCAUGCUGGCAUGAACUGAUGAGCACUGGAAUCCAACAAUCAUCGAAGAGCCACAGUAGGGGCGGACCUUGGGAAUAUGCCGCCCUGUGCAAGGCCAACAUUUGAAACCCUUCCCCCAGUCCUCGCAGCACCAGCUUAAGCCAGGUAAACAAGGUGCUGGUCUUUGGGAAGGAGGUGCAAGGCUCUGGCAGGAUCCUAGAGCCCUUAUGGUUCUAUUCCAAAGCCCAGUAAGCACUUGCAAAACUUUGGGACGAAGGCAAGAAGACUCUAGGACCCUGUCAGAGCCCUCAUGCCUCCUUCCCAAAGCUGGGUAAGCACUUAACAGGCUUUGAGAAGUGCACCCCAGUGCACCCAAACUGCUCACACUGCCCUAAAUCCACCUCUGGACUUAUCCGUCUCACAACAAAGGCAUUGUGGCCAAGGAAGAGCAAUUUCACCGCCACCCUCCCCUAUGCUCACAUUACAUGUGAAAGGUCCUUGGCCAUACUGGCUGGAACUGAUAGGUGUUGGAGUCAAGCAACAUCUGGAGGGCCACACUUCUCCUACUCUGUAGCAGGAGCUGACAACUAGGGGGCCCUGCCAAGGCCUUCACUGGAAAGAUAGGAUUUGAAGGUGGAUUUGAAGUGCAUAAGAGAGGUGCUGCUGUUCAGGGAUCCAGUUUUAAGCAAAUGGGGCAGCAAGGGUGGAAGGGUGGAGUCUUUGAGAGAGCAGAUGGUGGAGACUGGUGGAACCAGAGCAGAUGGUUGAGACUGGUGGAACAGAGAAGCAAAGAUCAUGGACAGGGAUGCCUCCGAAUAUAAGAAAUGCUAUGGUCCCUUGUACACAGUCUUUCCUCCAUCCAUGUGGUGUUUUGCAUACUGUAGUCUGCUUGACUUGUUCAGGCUUUACCCUGAAAGGCAAAUGAGCUUCAAGCUUUGCACCUCCUGCUGAAAAUAGGGCAAGGGGGCAAUCAGCCAUUAAAAGCAGAACACAUUUUAGGAAUUUGUAUUGGUUCGUGUGGGAGACACAGUUUCUGGACAGAGGGCAUUUGUGAAUGGAGGAAUCUGUACUGAGAUAAUGUAAGCUUUCACCCACAUUCCUACACAGCCCAUGCAGAUAAAGAAAAGAGAAAACCCAGAUAUGCAUUUCUAACUGAAUCUCAGGGAGCCGUUAUUUUCUAAAAUUUAGCAACCCUAUUCCCAACAGUAUUCAUUAGAAUUUUUGAUGACCAUUUGAAAUCUUUCGUGUUUACCUGAAAUUAUACUAAUGUUACUAAUAAGAAAAGGUGUAGGUUUUUGGAGAAAUGGUUAAUUUGUAAAUGAAAUCAAAGAAAGAUCAAUAUAUUUGGGAGAGGGUGGCGAGGACUCAAUAUGCUAUUUUUUAAAAAGCACCAUGCAUUUAUAAAGGUGACACAGUCCUUUAGAGCCCGCUGUUCCAAUCCAUUGUGUAGCGAUACUGACAAAGACUGACAGCUCUUAGAAAGGUAUAAUGUUCCCAAGCCAAUUGCUAGCACAGCUCAAUGAGAUAAAGAUCAGUAAUUCGAUGGAGGUGAAAGGGCUAAACGUUGGAGGUUAAUCUGCUAUGUUCUUAUUACUAAUCAAACUUCCAGCAGUUUAUUCUAACAGUAUCAGAACCCCAUACCAAAAAAAAAAAAAAAAGUAUUACAAGGUCUAACAUCCUUAUUUGCUUUGAUGCUUUUUCAAGAUGCAUGCUUUUUCAAGAUCAUUUUAACUUGCCAACUACUAUCUUUUUAACUGACAUGUAUUAGCUUGAGUCUUUUCUGGGCAAGGGUUCUGAUGUAUUAAAUUUUUAUUUUGUUUUACUUUGGUGCUGGUAAUUUAAGCUUAAGCUAUGCUUAAGGUAUAGAAUUCUGUUGAGAAGUUAAUGGAGGGGAACACGGACCUCUUGUACAAGGAAACUUUGUUGGACGAGCACCAAUGGCAUAUCAAAAUGUAGGCCCCAGAGAUAGUAACAUUGCAGCUGUUUCUGUCCCAGAACCUCCACCAGCAGUUUCUUCCUGUAUCUUAACUUUCCUGUAGAUAGAAGCUUAUGAAAAGCAUCUUGUGAGUUCCAAGGUCUAUGUUACUU